GCGCCCUGAAGCUGGCUUGCUUCUCGCGUGUCGCUUGUGAUGGGAGGAUUAGGUCGCAGGCUCCACCUGCGUCAUCCUCUCAAACUUCUCAAGCGUCUGGCGCUUGGGGUCACUGCCCCCAAGGAGGCACCUGGAGGGGGGGAUGGCGUCCACUCCGAUGGGGAAUGAGGGGGAGAAGAAGAGCAGCUGGCCGUCUCAAGCUGCACCCUCCUUGAGAGGAGGUCCUGGCUUCGUUGUCUGGUUCUGAGGAAUACCUGUCCCGGAUCAGUGCAGAACUCACGGAGGAGGCUUUGUGCACUGCCUGUUGCCACUUGAACCCUGUGCCCAUCAAAAAAAAACAGACACAAGACCAAGCGACUCAGAUAUCCAAACGUGCAUUCUUCACCAAGACCUGAGGCACAGACACCCGAAACCGUACCCGCAGCAAGGCACACCUCCUGCCAACUCCUCAUGAAAAGAACAUGCCUCAGAACUCCUCUUUUGCCACUCGUUAAUCACUUCCAUUGGUGGGAACCUCCUGGUCAUGAGCAGCAUCAUCCCGAAGCCUUCAAAGUGUUCUGGAUUCAUCACACAACCCUCCAACCUCAGCCAGCAAGGACACCACCAGGAAUGAAAGCGCUUUAAUAAAGAGACGGGGAUCGCUCCCUCCCCCA
This is a long non-coding RNA of Rhinopithecus roxellana (golden snub-nosed monkey), 653 nucleotides long. RefSeq lists it as uncharacterized. NCBI's taxonomy places the organism in Eukaryota, Metazoa, Chordata, Mammalia, Primates, Cercopithecidae. The record is from RefSeq and is a predicted model, not a curated record. The transcript is spliced from 6 exons.